GCUACCACAUCCAAGGAAGGCAGCAGGCGCGCAAAUUACCCAAUCCCGAUACGGGGAGGUAGUGACAAUAAAUACUGAUACGGGGCUCUUUUGGGUCUCGUAAUUGGAAUGAGAACAAUUUAAAUCCCUUAACGAGGAACAAUUGGAGGGCAAGUCUGGUGCCAGCAGCCGCGGUAAUUCCAGCUCCAAUAGCGUAUAUUAAAGUUGUUGCAGUUAAAAAGCUCGUAGUUGAACCUUGGCUCUGGCUGGCCGGUCCGCCUCACCGCGAGUACUGGUCCGGCUGGAGCUUUCCUUCUGGGGAACCUCAUGGCCUUCACUGGCUGUGGGGGGAACCAGGACUUUUACUGUGAAAAAAUUAGAGUGUUCAAAGCAGGCCUUUGCUCGAAUACAUUAGCAUGGAAUAAUAGAAUAGGACGUGCGGUUCUAUUUUGUUGGUUUCUAGGACCGCCGUAAUGAUUAAUAGGGAUAGUCGGGGGCGUCAGUAUUCAGCUGUCAGAGGUGAAAUUCUUGGAUUUGCUGAAGACUAACUACUGCGAAAGCAUUCGCCAAGGAUGUUUUCAUUAAUCAGGGAACGAAAGUUAGGGGAUCGAAGA
Molecule: ribosomal RNA, 593 nt
Filed under: uncultured eukaryote
Lineage: Eukaryota
Description: SSU rRNA
Rfam family: Eukaryotic small subunit ribosomal RNA
Source: RNAcentral